CACGUGCCAUGACUGCUUUUGUCUCAGAGAGCAACUAGUAGGUUAAACCAAAUAUAAUUGCCAACACUUGACAGAUUUUAACUUGCAACUGUGGCAACUUCAUGUGACUCAACCUAAUACUCUGGCCUCCCUCAGUGAGCUCGGUUUCAAUUCCUCAUUCCCUUUGUGGACUUCCAACUGCCUCAGUGGUUCUCAGUCUUGGCCACAUGGUAGAAUCACCUGGAGAGCUUUUGAAAACUGAACGCCCGGGCCACACGCAGGACCAGACUCUGGAGGAGGAGCCCAGUAUUCGGCAGGUUUGGGAAACACCCUGGUAGUCUAAUGUGGGGUCAGGCUGGAGCACACAGAGCUACUCAGAGCUUUUGGCAGCACCCAGUUCUGUGUCAUGGAUUCCUUCCACCUGGUUGAAAGAUGUGGCCAACUGUGAUGAAAGAUUGGGGAAUCGCUGCGGCAACCCUGAGGCUUAUGAACUCAUAGAUGGCUGGGCCCGACCCCCAGAGUGUCUGGAAUGGCACCCGAGAAUCUGCAUUUCUAACAAGGUCCCAGGUGAUGCUGAUGCUGCUGGUUCAGGAUCCACACUUUGAGAACCACUGCACUGUUACUGUCUUCCAUGGGCUACGUGCCUACCUCAUAGUAGGUCUUUCACGAAUGUUUGUUGGAAAGAUAAAUUGGAUAACUGUGGCAGAAGGAAAGCUGGUGGUUUCUCUGUGCUGGAUGCUGGGGACGUUGCCAUGACAAGACAAACCACCUCUGUCCUCAUGGAGCCUAUGCUCAGGGAGAAAUACAAAACUUCCAGAAAUGGAACUGCAGGAUCCAGGAAAAGCUUAAAACCACCCAGAACCCUGUUUCUGUACUCCCAUACUCCUCCCUAUUUCUCCCGAUUCCGUCCCACAGCAGUCACACAGCGGCUGUGAAGAAAAGAACAAACGAGGGUCCCCCCUUCUAACCUCCAGCAUCUUCCAUUAAUUAUGAGGUUCUUUCCGGUGGUGGGACUUCCAAGUGGAGGACACAUUGCUCCCAUGCAGAAUGCUCCCUCCGAGGGAAACGAUGGUGACACAGAAUGGCGAGAUGGACGACAGUGCUGUCCCAGGGGUGCACAUGCAGGAUGGAGCCCCAGUCCAAUGUCUGCCCCAUCAAGCCAACCGCCCCACCACCAAGGGCAGCUUUCGAAAACAGAAACACUUCCUCGAAACUUCCCUGGUCCCCACAGUAUGGCAGUGGUCCCCAAGCCGGGGGGCCCAUCAGAGCUGUCUGGACACGACCUCACCCUAAACCUUCAGAAACAGAGUUCUCGGGGCAGACACGAAAAGGAAAUCUGCAUUUAUACUUACUUUGCCAGUCCUCCAGCUUUUUGGAAUCAGAGAAAUGACUCCAACCAUCAUAAAAGAACUCAAGCUUCCACGAUAUAUAUUUCCAAAGGACUGUCCUUUCUUUCCUAACUUCCUCUGAGGAGUCCUGGUCUGAAGGGGUCUGGUCUGAGAUUCUCCUUGUCUUUUCUUUCUCCCGUCACCCCAACUCUGAGCUCCUGCCCUCCACCUUUUCAUCAUCAGCUUGGUGGUCUCCCUGUCUUGUCUUUGUUUCAAUUGAUCCUCUUCCUUCUUUCCCCAGGGCAUCACCACCACCAGGGUGACACUAAUUAGUGGUUAAUAAAGCUUAACUAAUGACAUGGGAACACUGAAGACUGGACUGGAGAUUAGGUAGCAUGCACCAUCAAACGGCACUCCUCCUGAAAUAACUUUGCCCUUCCCGCGGUUAGAGAAGUAAUGGAUGGAGGUCACCGUCCUUAUGCCCUGACCUUGCCUGCUCCUGCCCCAGAGAGCCUUCUCCCAUCGCCUCUCUCCCCUCUACCCCAGGUCCAAGUUCCUUCCUGCUAUCAACUCAAUGUUGGUGCUUCC
RNAcentral lists this long non-coding RNA (1895 nucleotides) under Equus caballus (horse). RNAcentral describes it as "lncRNA (ENSECAG00000044205.1)". The record is from RNAcentral. Lineage: Eukaryota; Metazoa; Chordata; Mammalia; Perissodactyla; Equidae.